RNAcentral lists this transfer RNA (83 nucleotides) under Actinoalloteichus hymeniacidonis. Its description in RNAcentral is "tRNA-OTHER". The record is from RNAcentral. Lineage: Bacteria; Bacillati; Actinomycetota; Actinomycetes; Pseudonocardiales; Pseudonocardiaceae.
AGGCCCCGUUUCCGCAGGUAGGGCCAGGGGAUUAUCUGCCACUCAUAAUCCCUUGGCCGUGGGUUCGAGCCCCACCCGCCCCA